GCUGGAUAACGGCAUAUGUAUACACAGGUUGAAGAUGGCCCAGAGAGAGAGAACACAAAUUAAUGAAGAACAAAGGGAAACUUUGAAAACAUUUUUUGAGGAUGGAAUGACACGGGUUGGUUCCCCCCUCAUAUCAAGAGCUGCAUCAGAUACUGGUUUGGAAACCAG
Perca fluviatilis (European perch) is the source of this 168-nucleotide long non-coding RNA. RefSeq lists it as uncharacterized. NCBI's taxonomy places the organism in Eukaryota, Metazoa, Chordata, Actinopteri, Perciformes, Percidae. The transcript is spliced from 3 exons. The record is from RefSeq and is a predicted model, not a curated record.